This 61-nucleotide transfer RNA is filed under the name Heterocephalus glaber (naked mole-rat). It matches the Rfam family "tRNA", at positions 6 to 65 of the family's 71-position model. From Rfam's summary of the family: Transfer RNA (tRNA) molecules are approximately 80 nucleotides in length. Their secondary structure includes four short double-helical elements and three loops (D, anti-codon, and T loops). Further hydrogen bonds mediate the characteristic L-shaped molecular structure. tRNAs have two regions of fundamental functional importance: the anti-codon, which is responsible for specific mRNA codon recognition, and the 3' end, to which the tRNAs corresponding amino acid is attached (by aminoacyl-tRNA synthetases). tRNAs cope with the degeneracy of the genetic code in two manners: having more than one tRNA (with a specific anti-codon) for a particular amino acid; and 'wobble' base-pairing, i.e. permitting non-standard base-pairing at the 3rd anti-codon position. Lineage: Eukaryota; Metazoa; Chordata; Mammalia; Rodentia; Bathyergidae. The record is from Rfam by way of RNAcentral.
UGUAGCUGAGCGGUAGAGCGCUUGUCUAGCAUGCAUGAGGUGCUGGGUUCAAUCCCCAGCA